This 358-nucleotide unclassified non-coding RNA is filed under the name soil metagenome. RNAcentral's name for it is "partial contains 5.8S ribosomal RNA, internal transcribed spacer 2, and large subunit ribosomal RNA". The stretch from base 1 to 120 matches the Rfam family "5.8S ribosomal RNA", at positions 35 to 154 of the family's 154-position model. The record is from RNAcentral.
GAUGAAGAACGCAGCGAAAUGCGAUAAGUAAUGUGAAUUGCAGAAUUCAGUGAAUCAUCGAAUCUUUGAACGCACAUUGCGCCCGUCAGUAUUCUGGCGGGCAUGCCUGUUCGAGCGUCAUUACGCCCCUCAAGUCCCCUGUGGACUUGGUGUUGGGGAUCGGCGAGGCUGGUUUUCCAGCACAGCCGUCCCUUAAAUUAAUUGGCGGUCUCGCCGUGGCCCUCCUCUGCGCAGUAGUAAACCACUCGCAACAGGAGCCCGGCGCGGUCCACUGCCGUAAAACCCCCCAACUUUUUAUAGUUGACCUCGAAUCAGGUAGGACUACCCGCUGAACUUAAGCAUAUCAAUAAGCGGAGGA